UACGUAGGGGGCAAGCGUUGUCCGGAUUUAUUGGGCGUAAAGAGCUCGUAGGUGGUUCGGUAAGUCGGAUGUGAAAUCUCCAGGCUCAACCUGGAGGGGUCAUUCGAUACUGCCGUGACUAGAGGUCGGUAGGGGAGUGUGGAAUUCCUGGUGGAGCGGUGAAAUGCGCAGAUAUCAGGAGGAACACCCGUAGCGAAGGCGGCACUCUGGGCCGAUACUGACACUGAGGAGCGAAAGCCAGGGGAGCAAACGGG
Molecule: ribosomal RNA, 254 nt
Filed under: uncultured bacterium
Lineage: Bacteria
Description: partial 16S ribosomal RNA
Rfam family: Bacterial small subunit ribosomal RNA
Source: RNAcentral